AGAGUUUGAUCAUGGCUCAGGACGAACGCUGGCGGCGUGCUUAACACAUGCAAAGUCUACGAGAAAAAGAGUAGCAAUAUUCUGAGUAAAGUGGCGCAAGGGUGCGUAACUCGUAAGCAAUCUACCUUUAGAAGGGGAAUAACCCGGCGAAAGCAGGAUUAAUAUCCCAUGAUGCAGCGGCACCGCAUGGUGAUGUUGUUAAAGUCUAUAUGACGUCUAGAGAUGAGCUUGCGUCUGAUUAGCUAGUUGGUGAGGUAACGGCCCACCAAGGCUACGAUCAGUAGCUGGUCUGAGAGGAUGAUCAGCCACACUGGAACUGAGACACGGUCCAGACUCCUACGGGAGGCAGCAGUGAGGAAUAUUGCGCAAUGGGGGCAACCCUGACGCAGCGACGCCGCGUGGAUGAUGAAGGCCCUUGGGUCGUAAAAUCCCGUCAGAUGGAAAGAAAUGUACAGGUGUUAACAUCGCCUGUAUUUGACGGUACCAUCAAAGGAAGCACCGGCUAACUCCGUGCCAGCCGCCGCGGUAAUA
Molecule: ribosomal RNA, 531 nt
Filed under: bacterium enrichment culture clone Cont70_3130
Lineage: Bacteria
Description: bacterial SSU rRNA
Rfam family: Bacterial small subunit ribosomal RNA
Source: RNAcentral